GACGACCGGCCGGACACUCCUGUGCCCGGCCCACAAGUGGAGGCUCCGAUCUCCCACCUGACCGUCCCCCGGGACGGCAGGUCACCCGGUCAGGUGGCCACCAUCGUUCCGUACGGACGAUGGAGCCGCCCGAUUAGCGCCCCGCGACAUACCGCGGCGGUGCUCCGGUAGUGUUUUUGGAGCCCCGCCUGCGAAUCGUCCGGGGCAUUUUUU
This 213-nucleotide non-coding RNA is filed under the name Streptomyces mangrovisoli. Its description in RNAcentral is "Streptomyces RNA 1601". It matches the Rfam family "Streptomyces RNA 1601". From Rfam's summary of the family: Identified by deep sequencing of transcriptome at the end of exponential growth phase. Appears longer on northern blot than sequencing transcript. Streptomyces specific. Lineage: Bacteria; Bacillati; Actinomycetota; Actinomycetes; Kitasatosporales; Streptomycetaceae. The record is from Rfam by way of RNAcentral.